AAAUUCGUUACCUUUAACCACGAUUUGAUAUGACGAAACUGAUUUCUCCCAAACCCUAACGAUUCUGCUCCUUCUCCUUUUCUCUCUUUUUCUCCUUUAUAAAACGAAAAGUGGCUAACCAAAGCCCUAAUUUCGAGUUUCCUUCUUUUAUAGGCACACUCUAGGGUUUUCAAUUAACCCAACCAAUUAAACCGGAUGAUUUAAAAAACAAACCCUAACCGAUUUUCCGGUUCACGGGCGUUACAAGUGCUAUCUGUACAGCGUUGUCUGUACAAAGCUAUAUGUACAGCGCAAUCGUAAAGAAAAACAAAUUUUUUAGAGAGAAAACAAAUUAAAUAAAAACACAUAACCAAUAAUACUUGGAUAAUACAUAAAAAGAGUUAUACAUUCAUCAGUAAUACUUGUCACUUUGAAAGAAGUUUAGGUAAUCUGUACAAUGCUAAUGUAAAA
RNAcentral lists this small RNA (450 nucleotides) under Arabidopsis thaliana (thale cress). RNAcentral describes it as "ATSL154350". The record is from RNAcentral. Lineage: Eukaryota; Viridiplantae; Streptophyta; Magnoliopsida; Brassicales; Brassicaceae.